This 1102-nucleotide long non-coding RNA is filed under the name Olea europaea subsp. europaea. Lineage: Eukaryota; Viridiplantae; Streptophyta; Magnoliopsida; Lamiales; Oleaceae. The record is from RNAcentral.
GUCGGAAGUGGUGAAUCGAACAGUGGAAAUAUAUCUUCGCUGCUUUGCUUCUUCUAAACCAAAGUCAUGAGUCAGCUGGUUGCCGUGGGCUGAACUUUGGUAUAAUACUUCAUAUCAUACUUCAUCUAAAAUCUCUCCAUUUCGGAUUUUGUAUGGGAGGGAACCCCCAUUGUUAGUCAGGUUUGAGAGAGGUUCUACUCCAGUGUCGGUGGUGGAACAGCAAUUUGAUAGAAAGGGAUGAAGUGUUGGAAGAACUAAGGGGGCAGCUACUCCAUGCUCAAUCAUACAUGAAAAAGACAGCAGUUAGUAAGAGGAGGAAUGUCCAGUUCAACAAUGGGGACUUAUCUUAAGAUACGGCCUUAUCAUCGCAAAACCUUAUCAGCCCGCUCAAAUGAGAAGCUAGCCCCUAGAUUUUAUGGACCUUAUAGGGUUGAGAAGAGAGUGGGAAUGGUGGCAUAUCAACUUGAGUUACCGGCGAAUUGUCAUAUUCAUCCGGUAUUCCAUGUGUCUCAGCUGCGCAAGGUUGAAGGAAAACCCCAGGUGGUGACUGGUGAUAGAUAUUCCCAACCACUUGAAUGAGGAACUGGAAAUGAUAGUAGAGCCAGAGGCAGUUUUGGGGGUCAGACCUAGGAAAGGAAGCAACAUCAAGGGUAUUGAAGUUUUGAUCCAAUGGAGAGGGUUGCCACCCUUAGAGGCAACUUGGGAACCAUAUGAGUUGCUGAAACAACAAUUUCUGGAAUUCCACCUUGAGGACAAGGUGAGUUUCGUGGGAGGGAGUAAUGAUAGGCCACCUAUACAAAUUAAAUAACAAAGACGUAAAGGCAAGGCACGGCCAGAAAAGGAAGGACAGGAAAGAAUAUAACAACCAGCAUGUGUUUACAACAGAUUUGGUUAGUGGCUAUUAUAUAAGCAGAAGAAGAAGGGAAGAAACGACAUCUAGAAAAUCAGGAAAAUCUGGGGAGAGUCUGGACCUCUCGAAAGUCCAUCUAUCCAUUUUUUUAUUGUCAUUUCAUUUCAGUUACUUCUAAUUGUAUUGGAGAGGAAUCUGCUGUUGAUGUUAAUUCAGAAUUUAUUUCAAUACAGUAAAUCAUAUUGAGUUGGC